Molecule: long non-coding RNA, 2063 nt
Organism: Oryctolagus cuniculus (rabbit)
Lineage: Eukaryota; Metazoa; Chordata; Mammalia; Lagomorpha; Leporidae
Source: RefSeq, a predicted model, not a curated record
CUGAGUGGCGUCGGUUCUCGGACGUUCUCCCCCUAGAACUGCGGGCCGCGGGAGUCUGAGCGCCCACAGGAGGCGGCCCGGAGGCCUCGUUGGCGCCCCAAAGCCGCGCCGCCGGCUCCUCCCAGGACGCCCCGAGUGCACGCUCUGGCAGUGACUUGAAAACAACAAUAAAAGAAAAAAACAGCCGUUUCGGUUAAAAGGCACCGACCCCUUCAGGCGCUAGGGGCGGCCCGGCCCGGCCCGGCCCGGCUUGCCACCACUGCGCUCCCAACUACUUUGCAGAGGGGCCGAGAACCCCCACUCCCCAGGGGGCGGGGGGCUGCCCUGAUGCUGCUCUCUGCCCUCAGCCCCUCAAAGAUCGACUUCGUGUGCACCCAAAGGCUUUGUGGGAAUGGCGCAAGGAAAAGAUCGCACAUGACGCAAAGGAGCCCGAGUUCGGGAACUCGCAGGCGCUGAUUCCCAAGCGGGUCAAAGCGUUGCAGGCGCCGGGAGCUGGAAGGCUGUAACAUUCACCGGCUUGCUGCGUGCCCCCCGGGCGCGGCCCCAAGCUCCUUCUAUGGAUCAACUCGUUCUCUCCGCACGGCCGCCCCAGGAGGCAGGGGAACCUCUCAGGGCAGUGGCACUGCCGCCGAGGACAGCAGCGAAUGGACUCAGAGGGCAGGCAUUGUGUACUAGACCUUAAGAAGAUGGCCCAAGUCCUUGGGCCCCUGCACCCAUGUGGGAGAUCCAGAAGAAGCUCCUGGCCUCGGAUUGACACAGCUCCGGCUGUUGGCAGCCAUCUGGGGAGUGAACCAGUGGAUGGAAGACCUCUCUCUCUCUCUCUACCUCUCUCUGUAACUCUUUAAAAUAAAUAAAAUAAAUCUUCAAAAAAAAUUCAAAUCUUUUUUUUUUGGGAGGGGGGCACUGUUUCAGUUUCUUUUUUCCUGACUUCUCCUCCUCUGUCUACAUUGCCAACAUAUCUUCUGUUUUCCCAGAAAUAUUAUCUACAAGCUGACAUCUAUUUUUAAAUUUUUAACUGACAUAAAAUUGUAGAUAUUUAUGGGAUACGGUGUGAUGAUUCAAUGUGUGCAUACCUUGUGUAGUAUUCAAGACAGGGUAAACAUGUCCGUCUCCUCAUUUAUCAUUUCUUUAUCCUGAAAAGGCAUAUUUUCAGCUGUUUGUGAAGCCAAACAGCUUGUGGCAGGAACAGGAAUCAAAAAUCAGGCAGUUGGGGCUGGCUUUGUGGUAUAGUGGGUAAAGCCACUGCCUGCAGUGCCGGCAUCCCAUGUGGGCACCAAUUCAAGUCCUGGCUGCUCCACUUCCCAUCCAGCUCUCUACUAUGGCCUGGGAAAGCAGUGGAAGAUGGCCCAAGGGCUUGGGCCCUUGCAUCCGCGUGGGAGAGCCGGAGGAAGCUCCUGGCUCCCAGCUUUGGAUCAGCACAGCUCCAGCCGUUGCGGCCAAUUGGGGAGUGAACCAUCGGAUGGAAGACCAUUCUCUGUCUCUCCUCUCUCUGUGUAACUCUGGCUUUCAUAUAAAUAAAUAAAUCUUAAAAAAAAAAAAAAUCAGGCAGUCACCCUGUGGAGCUGGAGCUUUGAAGCAUUUGUGCUGUUGGAUUUCUGGAGCUUCAGUCCUGAGUCCUCUUCCGAGCCUCUUCGCCCAUGCCUCUGGCUUCAGGUACCAUUUACUUGAAGGCAGCUCUUGAAUAUAUCACUUCAGCUCAGGCCUCGCCUUCAAAUCCCAGACCUGAGUAUCUAACCAGUUCCUUGCCAUUUCUUCUUGGCCAUCUUCAGUGUACAUCAAGCUGAAUGAGAAUAGAAUAUGAUCUCCCAAUAUUGUCUCCUGUUCCCCUAACCUGUCCUUACUCUGGAAUCUUCUAAGUGGCUGGUGCCAUAGCGAAGCAGCAGUACAAACCAAAGCGUCUGCUUAGUUGGCUCAGGCUGCUAUGAUAGAAUACCGUAGAGCAGGAGGCUUACAGACAACAGGAAGUUGUUUCUCGUACUUCUAGGGGCUGGGAAGUCCAAGGUUUGCCUGGUGAUUGGGUGUCUGGUGGGGCCCAUCUCCUGGAUCGUGGGUGGCUCUCUUCC